Acinonyx jubatus (cheetah) is the source of this 10419-nucleotide long non-coding RNA. RefSeq lists it as uncharacterized. The record is from RefSeq and is a predicted model, not a curated record. NCBI's taxonomy places the organism in Eukaryota, Metazoa, Chordata, Mammalia, Carnivora, Felidae. The transcript has 2 exons.
UAGUGGAGCCUGGCUAUUUUUAGCUGGGCCUCGGGCGCGAGCCCGCCGCGUGAGGGGGCGCCCUGACCCUGCCAAGAGUGCGGAGGGGGCGGGGGCGGAGUCGCCAUCUUGGACCCGGCUCGUCCCCGUCUAGUGACCGGCGGCGCUGGGCAAGGCUCUGCGCAGGGGGUCGGGAAGCACAAAGAAGUUAAGUAACUUGCCCAGGUUCACACCAAGAUUUGAAGCCAGGUAGUCUUACUGCAGAGCGUAUGUGCUUAGCCAUCUCCAAUGCUGGCCUCAUGCUCAUUCGUUUGUAAGUAACCUGUUCUUUCUUUUUGAAAGUUUAUAUUUUUCUUUAUUAAACUUCAGAACUUUUGCCAGGAUAUAUCUAAGCUGUAUGCCUUUUUUCAUUUAUCCUGCCUGGCACACAGUGAGUGCUUUUGAUCUAAGAACUCUAGUCUCCUCCUGAGGGAAGUUUUCUUGCACUAUGUUUUGAUUAUUGCUUUCUCCACUGUGAUCCCUCUUGAGUUUCUUUUAUUUGCAAUGAGGGCUCCUAGAUCUGCCCCCCAUUUCUCUUUCCUUUUCAUUCAGGAAUUCCAUUUCUUUUAUUUUUGAUUUGGAUAUGUGAUAACUCAUUCACUUGCUUUUCCAGAUAACAAGUUUGUUCUUUUAAGGGUUGGUUCUACUGUUUAAUUCCUCAGUUGAAAUUUGAAGUUUAUAAAUUGUUCAAAGAAUUUCUCAGUCUAUUAUGUUUAUCCAUAUUAAAAUAUCAUAAUCAAGUAAACAAGGUUUAUUUGAGAUGUGUUAAGGCUGUUUCAACAUUAGGAAAUAUUAAUUUAAUGUAUCACUUUAAUAGAUCAGAAGAAGAAAAAUUAGGAUUAUUUCCCCAGAUAUUACAAUGGUAUUUGAUAAAUCAGUAUUCAUUCAUAAUAAAAUGAAGAAAUAAAAAACAGUUCUUGGUAACCCAGGAGAUGAAAGAUAUUUUCUAAUAGCCAUUGUCGUACUUAACAUUGAAAUAACCUAAGGGAUAUUUCCUAAGUGUAUUCUCUGAACUGUGGGUUUUUAAUUUAAAAUUUUGUUUUUAUUUCAUUGAUGUAUAUUUGUAUCCUUUUACCAAUACCACGUUGUCUUAAGUGCUUAGUUUUAUAUUAAGUACAGAAAUCAGGUAAUGUGAAUUCUCCUUCCUGUUUCUCUUUUUCAGAGCUGUUCCACUCAUUCUAGGUCCUCCGCUUUUCCAUAUAAAGUUUAGAAUCAGUCUGCCAAAUUCUACCAAAAACUAUGCUGGAAUUAUUUUUGAGAUUGCAUUGAAUAUGUAGUUCAAUUUGGAGAAGACUUGAUAUUCUAACAAUAUUGAGUCUUCCAAUCCAAGAACAUGUUACAUAGUGCCAGUUUUACUUAGGUCUUUUUUAUUUAUCUCUUUAGUUUUGUUUUUUUUUUUUUUAAAGCAUACAUAUUUUGCAUGUAUUUUGUUAGCUCUAUCUCAUAUUCUGUUGCUAUUUUACAUGAUACUUUUUUAAAUCAAGCUUUUAAUUUUAAUUCCAGUAUGGUUUAACAUAUAGUCUUAUAUUAGUCUCAGGUGUACAAUAUAGUGAUUCAACACUUCCGUACAACACCUAGUGCCUGUCACAAGUGUACUCCUUAAUCCCCAUUGCCUAUUUCACCUGUCCCCCCGCCCAUCUUCCCUCUGGUAACUACCAGUAUGUUCUCUAUAGUUAAGAGUCUAUUGCGUGGUUUGCCCCCUUUUCUCUUUUUUUCCUUUGCUUGUUUGUUUUGUUUCUUAAAUUCCACAUAUGAAUGAGAUCAUAUGGUAUUUGUCUUUCUCUGACUUAUUUUGCUGAGCAUUAUACUCUGUGGCUUCAUCCAUGUUGUUGCAAAUGGCAAGAUUUAAUUCGUUUUUAUGGCUAAAUAAUAUUCCAUUUUAUGUAUGUAUGUGUGCAUACACACACACACGUACACACAUAUAUAUACACACCAUAUUUUCUGUAUCCAUCUAUGAAUGGGCACUUGGGCUGCUUCCAUAAUUUGGCUGUUGUAAAUAAUGCUUCUAUAAAUAUAGAGGUGCAUGUAUCUCUUUGAAUUAGUGUUUUUGUAUUUUUUUUGGUAAAUACCCAGUAAUGCAAUUGUUGAAUUGUAGGGUAGUUCUGUUUUUAACUUUUUGAGGAACCUUCAUACUGUUUUCCACAGUGGCUGUCCCCAUUCACAUUUCUACCAACAUGCACAAGGGUUCCCCUUUCCCCACAUCCUCACCAAUGCUUGUUUUUUCUCAUGUUUUUGAUUUUAGCCAUUUUGACAGGUGUGAGGUGAUAUCUCAUAGUUUUGAUUUGCGUUUCCCUGAUGAUGAAUGAUGUUGAGCAUCUUUUCGUGUAUGUGUUUGUUGGCCAUCUGGAUGUCUUCUUUGGAGAAAUGUCUGUUCAUGUCUUCUGCCUAUAUAUAGAUUUUUUAAGUUUAUGUAUUUGAGAGAGACAGAGGUAGCACAAGCAGGGAAGGGGAAGAGAGAGAGGGAGAGAGAAUCCCAAGCAGCUCUGUAGCGCAGAGCCUGACAUGGGGCUCAAACUCAUGAAACCUUGAGAUCAUGACCUGAGCUGGAACCAAGAAUUGGACGCUUAACUGACUGAACCACAAAGGUACCCCUCUGCUCAUUUUUUAAAUUGGAUUGUUUGUUUUUUUGGGUGUUGAGUUGUAUCAGUUCUUUAUAUAUUUUGGGUACUAACCUUUUUUUGGAUAUGUCAUUUGCAAAUGUCUUCUUGCAUUCAGUAGGUUGCCUUUUAGUUUUGUUGAUUGUUUCCUUUGUUGUGCAGCUUUUUAUUUUGAUGCAGUACCUGUAGUUUACUUUUGCUUUUGUUUCCCUUGCCUCAGGAGACAUAUCUAGAAAAAUGUUGCUAUGACUGAUAUCAGAGAAAUUACUGCCUGUGUUUUCUUCUAGGAUUUUAUGGUUUCAGGUUCCACAUUUAGGUUUUUAAUCCAUUUUGAGUUUGUUUAUUUAUUAAAAAAAUUUUUUAACGUUUAAUCAUUUUUGAGAGACAGAAAGAAUGAGUAUGAGCAGGGGAGGGGCAGAGAGAGAGGCAGACACAGAAUCUGAAGCAGGCUCCAGGCCCUGAGCUGUCAGCACAGAGCACAACGUGGGGCUCGAGCCCAUGAACUGUGAGAUCACAAUCUGAGCCGAAGUCAGACACUUAACCGACUGAGCCACCCAGGUGCUCCAGUUUUGAGUUUAUUUUUGUGUAUGGUAUAAGAAAGUGGUCUGGUUUCUUUCUUUUUCAUGUAGCUGUCCAGUGUUCCUAACACCAUUUGUUGAAGAGAUUGUCCUUUUCCCUUUGGAUAUUUUUUCCUGCUUUAUCAAAGAUAAAUUGAUGUUACAGUUGUGGGUUUAUGUUUGUGUUUUCUAUCAUGUUCCAUUGAGCUAUGUGUCUAUUCUGUUUUGGUUACUACAGAUUUGUAAUAUUUUGUGAAGUCUGGAAUAGUGAUACCUUCAGUUUUGUUUUUCUUUUUCAGGAUUGCUUUGGUUAUUUGGGGUCUUUUGUGGUUCCGUACAAAUUUUAGGAUUGUUUGAUUUAGUUUUGUGAAAAAUACUGUUGGUAUUUUGAUAGGAAUUGCAUUAAAUGUGUAUAUUGCCCUGGGUAACAUAGACAUUUUAAUAAUAUUUGUUUUUUCAAUCCAUGAGCAUGGAUGUCUUUCCAUUUCUUUGUGUCAUCUUCAGUUUCUUUCAUCAGUGUUUUAAAAUUUUCAGAGUACAGGUCUUUCACCUCUUUGGUAACUUUAUUCCCAAGUAUUUUGUUAUUUUUGGUGCAAUUGUAAAUGGGAUUGUUUUCUUGAUUCCUCUUUCUGCUCUUCCUUAUUAGUGUAUAGGGAUCUGGAGUUUUAUUAAAAAAAAGGUAUUUUAGUAUGUUGGUUACAAAAAGGCAACAUAUUUUAACAAACACCAACAUUUCAACACCUUAAUACAAUAAGAACUUAUUUCUCCUUCAUGUAAUACUCCCAUGUGGAUGUUUCUGGUUGAUAAACAGUUUUUCUCUGUAUGGAUUCAGGGACUCAGUUUCCUUGCAUCAUGUGGCUCUGCCAUUUCCUAAGGCCUUGACAUCUUCUCUUUCCAACUGGCAGAAAGGCAAGGAUAUGGUGGAGAAUGCACACUCUCUUCUCAAUUACUUUGGUCUUGACACAAUGCACAUCAUUUCUGUUCACAUUCUUACAUUCCAUAGGCCAGAUAGGUGGUCUCACCUAUCUGUAAGGUGUGUUUGUAUAUUGGUAGUGGGGCGGGGGGCAUGGGAGAAUGGGAAAUAGUAUCACCUGGGCAGCCACACGUAAGGGAAAGGAAUAGACGUUCUCAUUUGUAAUUGGCAAGAUGAUACCUCUGAAUAGAAGACACUGUGGUAAUUAAUAUCUUUCAAAUUUUAAACUAUACAUAUCCUUUGAACUUAAAACUCCACUUCUAGCAGUUUUUACUGAAUAUAUAUUUACAAAUGUGUACCUAUUUACAUUUUAAGGACACAUCUAGUAACGUUGUAGUAGCAAAAUAUUAGAAAUAUCCUGAAUGUCCAUCAAAGGGGACUGGAUGGGGGCGCCUGGGUGGCUCAGUCAGUUAAGCGUCCAACUUCAGCUCAGGUCACGAUCUCGAGGUCCGUGAGUUCGAGCCCCGCGUCGGGCUCUGGGCUGACAGCUCAGAGCCUGGAGCCUGCUUCUGAUUCUGUGUCUCCCUCUCUCUCUGCCCCUCCCCCAUUCAUGCUCUGUCUCUGUCUCUCAAAAAUAAAUAAACGUUAAAAAAAAUAAAAAAAAAAAGGGGACUGGAUAAUCAAGUGGUUAUAUUUUCAUACAAUGGAACAUUUUGUAGCUACUAAGAGUAAUAAGGCAGUGAUAAGUGUAUUGCCUGGGAGAUUUGAAAAAUGAGGUACAGGAUUGUGUGUGCAUGGCUACCACUUAUUUAAAAAGAAAUAUAUACACAUACUCAAAAUAUCUAUGGAAGGAUCCCAAGAAACCGGUAACAGUGGUUGUUUCUGGUUACAACUAAAAGGUGAUUGGGGAAUGGGAUGGGAGAGAGACAUGCUUUUACUGUAUACUCAUCUAUACCUUUUGAUAUGCUCCUUUUUAAAUAUAAAGAAGUUAGUUGUAGAAGUAUAGUAAAUGACAUGGAAAGAUGGUUGUAAUAUAUUGUUGCCUGAAUAAGCUGUUGACUGAAAGGAAUGUACAAUAGGGUUUCAGUUUUAUAAAUAAAUAAUUUUUAAGUGGCAUAUACAAAAAUAUAGUGGUUUUUUAGUGAUUUUUUGCCUAUCUGUAUUUAAGAUCUUGUAAAUAAUGUGCAUCUACCACCUUUGUAAUUAAAAUAUAUAAAUAAAAAUAAAAGAAGAAAUACAAUGAAAACUUUCCCUAGUACUCCCUGAAGCUAACCCUGCCAUGAAAUCUUUCCCCAUUUCAGCUGAAUGCCUCUUAUUUGCUUUCAUGUUACAUUUUUCAUACAUUCAUCACACCUUGAAUUGCAUUAUCACAUACACAUUUAUCUUACCUACUCUGUACAUUCUUUUAAAGGCCUGGAUCUUACCAGAUGCAUCCAGAUUCCCUGUCUAUGCCAAGAACAGAGUCUUUCUCAUAACAGGUGUGCAGUAAAUACUGAGUUGGUGCUUGAAGCAGAGAGCACAGUGAGUAAAGUGGUUGUGCAUUUUGUUGUUUUGUGAUGCAACCUGUAUUCAAUACUGUACCAGAUUCACUCUUUAGUUAUGCCGGGGCCCAUUAGGUGCAGUGCAAAGCAUGUGGGUGAAAGGCUUUCCUUUCUAAAAUGAUAUUGGUUGUCCCUAGAGAUCUCUGUCUCUACAUCUUAGAUUAGUUAGUGUGGUUUGGUUAUAGAAAUAUAUAUAGCAAAAAUGACAUAAAGUUGAAAAUAAAUUUAAGAUUAAUCAAAUUGCUGAUGACAUGGUUCUGCUGUUUUACAGGUGAGACACUCCUACCUGCUUGAUAUAUUUUUUAAAGAUUUAAAAAAAAAUGUUUAUUUACUUUUGAGAGAGAGAAACUGCAAGCGGGGGAGGGGCAGAGAGAGAAAGGGGGACAGAAGAUCCCAAACAGGCUCUGCACUGACAGCUGCUAGCCCAAUGUGGGGCUCGAACUCAUGAACCAGGAGAUCAUGACCUGAGCCAAAGUCUGACGCUUAACCGACUGAGCCACCCAGGUGCCCCUCUGCUUCGUAUUUUAAUUUAGAUCAGUUUGCUCCUAUUUUUCUCUCCAUAUUACUUUCCUUUCCCCAUUUGUGUCUUUUUGCUACAACGUCUCCUUGUACACAUAACUUUAGUUCUGUUAUGGUUAUAGGGGCCAGUUAUGCAUGAGAAGAGAUAGACUUGGGAGCUGAUAAUGUUACUUACAGCAGUUAAGAUUUUUUUUAAUUGAAAUUGCUUGAGAAUUGCUUUGAUGGCCUGGCUUCUCUUCAUGUCCCAGUUUUAUUGCUAGAUUUCUUGCCACUUUAUUGCCUUAUUCUCCAUUUUUCUUCCCUAUGUUGUAGUCACAGAGAUUUACUCAGUAUACCCCAAAAGUUCUUUCUAGGGCCUUUCCUCAAAACUUUUCUUACCGGGAGGUUCUCUGCAUAUGUCCAUUAAUUUAAGUACUACCUUCCCACAAAGAGCCAGUUCACAUGCCACCUCCUCAAAGAAGUCAUUACAGAUCCUCUUAGUCAAUUUCAAUAUACUCGUUCUUCCAUUAAAUCAUUAUACCCUCAUUAGAGUGCUAAUUAAAGUUUAUUUAUUAAUUUUUUCAUUGUGUACACAUUCAUUGAGUGUCUACUGUGCAUAAAUUGUUCUGGGAGCUAGGGUAAGAGACUGUUAAGACAGUUUUCAAGAAGCUUACAGAAUAGUGGGGGAGGCAUAUGAGCAGGAUAGUUUCAUUACAGUGUAAUAAGUACAGUGGGUGUGUGCAGGAUUCUGUGGGAGCCCAGAGAGGGAGCAUCUAAUGUAGCAGGGGUUGGGGAAUUCCAGAAAGAUUUGAGCUGGACAUUGGAGAAAUGGAGGUAGAGAAAGGAAUUUCCCAGACUAAUGGAACAGCACAUUGUAAGUCACUGAGAUGUGAAAUGUCUUGCAUAUUGAAGAAUAAGUAGCUCAGGCUGCAGUGUGGAUGGGGGAAGUGGCAGGAGAUGCAUUCAAGGAGGCAAGACAAUGGAAUCUUGAUGGACCUUUUGUGCCAAGCUAGGCACACGAGCUUUCUGAAAGCAGCAUAGAGCCCUUGAAGGACUUUAUGUAGGGGACAACUAAGUAAGCCUUGAGUUGUUUUUCUCGAUGGUACGAAUCAAGUCUUAUACAUCAUGGUAUCACCUUAGCACCUAAUACAGAGCUUGAUACUAGAGGCCAGUAAAAUUGAACUGGGUUUGCUGGGUACUGCUUUAAUUCUUUUCAAGAAUUAAUUUAUCUGAAAUAAUAACAGUAAUAGUGUUGAACACUUUUGCACUCUGUCAAAUCUGUAAGCAUUAUCUUACCUAAUCCUUACUACUCUCUAAGCAUAGGGGCUUAGAGCGUUUAAGUGAGGGGACCACCAUAAUAGUUAAGUCUGCUUAGGUUUGAAUUUCAGCUCUUCCAGUUACUAGUUUUGGACCUCAAAGUUACAUUUGUGCUUCAGUUUCCUCAUCUGUAAAAUUAUAAUGAUAAUAAUACCUCAUAGGGUAUUGUGAGGAGUAGUGAUACAUGUAAAAACAUGUAAAGCGGUUGGCCCUAUAGUUGCUAAGUGAUUACAUGCCCAAUAAAUAAUUAAUUUUUAGCUAUUAUUAAGAAACACACCCCAAAGUCACAGGCACAAUUAGCGGUAAAGCCCAAGAUGAACAAGGCAAUUUGACUUCAGAAUCUUUAAUUACUAUUUAUUCUAUGUUAUAACUGCUUCUGUGGUUAUAGUGAGAUGAGUAAAGAUGGGUUCCAAGCAGUGAAACAAAAUGAAGAAUUUUAGUCAACAUGGGAAAUACCAUUUGGGGUAGGGAGUUCUUAGGGGCUCUUCAAAUUACCCUCACUUAAAGAACUCUUCCUUUGAUACCUUGCCUGCACUUUAGAGACUUAUGUGAGAAGUAUAUCUCUGUAAUUUAGGUAGAUGAUGUUAAUUCCAGAUUCAUAGUUCACAUAGCUAUUGAACCUAAAGACUAUUUUAUAAAGGUCUCCCUCUAGGAGUUUGUCUGCUAGUGCUGGCACCCAGUAUACAAUGUCAAGUCUUGUAGCUCUGUUCCUUUUCUCCAUACUCCCUAGAUUUUUCCAACUUUAGGACCCAAGUGGGAGUCUUAUGUUGGAGGAUGUUGUGCAAACCACAUGCGUAAAGAAAAUAAUUUACAUUUUUCCUUUCUUAGCUUCUGGAACAUCAGUGAUUCCAUCCUCCCACUUCUAUUGGGCAGAAAUUGAGGUAUUCUCCUUAUGCUCCCUCAUCUUCUCCAAAAGGCACCACACACACACACACACACACACACACACACACACACACACUCCUUGCCAUACAUGUCAGAGGGACCCAGCAUAACUGCUUUUUUUCUGAUUCAAGGUCCUAAGAACAUACUAAGUCUUUGGUAAUAGAGGCUCCCGCCAGCAAUUCACUUUUUCUUCUCUGUUCUUACUCUUUCCAGUCAUAACUGUCUUUCAGCUUUCUUUUUUUUUCACCAAUUUAUCCCAUUAUCCCUUGCAUAGUGCUUGGUAUAUAGUAGGCAUGCAAUAAGUAGUUUUUGAAAGAAUAAAAGAAAGGCAGGAUGCAUUGUAUAUUCAAUACUUUAAUGAUAUUCAAUUACAGAAAAAUGUGCAAAAAUCUUGCCUUGCUUUAAGUUUCAUGGGAACAGAUUGGUGUUAGCAAGUAGGCCCCACCGUCACCUCCACUGCCACAUUAGAGCUCCCACAACUUCAGGAUUUAUCCCCCUGAGUAUAUGUAGUAAUGGGACUGAAUGGAUGCCUCACAAAUAGAGAUCUCCAGGUUUGGGGCAGGUCUGUCUCAUGAGCUUUGUUAUUUUUCCAAAUUCUUUUGCAAUUUCAUGACUUCAUAAUGGAAGAGUUUCCACAAAUUUAAGUCUGUAUGGAAAUUAAUAAGUCAUAGGAGACAUAUUGCUUACUGUUAGAAAAGGGUGGGGGAAAAUAGAAGAUAUCCAGGGCCUAUGGUUCAGAAUAAAUAACCUUCAUAAUUCUGGUGUCUAUAAGGACUCAAAUUUAUGUAGACAGUGGUGCUGAGACAAACCCUCUUUCACUGGUUUCCUAGGAAAACCGUUAGAGAUGUGAAAAAAGAGGCUUAAAUUUUAGGAGCUUAUGCUUGCCUGAAAGUCCAGACUCAUGUUUAGUCUGGGCCAUGAUGACACACCAGUAGACUAUCCAGACAUGUUCAAGGCUGUGAACCUGGUCAUUCAGGACUUUGUUUGACCUUGGAUCUCAUACAGUGUAUUGCAGUAUGCAGAAAUAGUGUGUCGAAAGAUGAAGAACAUCUCCUGAAGCCCAGGAAUGUCGUGUGUGUGUGUGUGUGUGUGUGUGUGUGUGUGUGUGUGUGUCUGUAUCUAUAACCUGGAGGUAAUCUCGAAGACUUCAAAUGAAAGUGAUACCCAGGCUUGAAUCUGGUGUGCUUCACGCACAAAUUUUGUUAACUGCUUGCUCUGUCUUCAAACCUCCUUAAAAAGGUUACUUUAAGGUUACUUUUCAUACCUCUAUAAGCAAUUAGAAAAAGAAGACCAAAUUAAACCCAAAGCAAGAAGAUUAAGAUAACAGCGGAAAUCAGCCAGAUAGAAAAGAGAUAGUUAAUAGAGAAAAUUGACAAAGCCAAAAGUCUGUCCUUUGAAAAGUAUAAUAAAAUUGAUGAACCUCUACCGUGAUUGAUAAGGAUAGAAAACAGAAAUUACCAACCUGAGGAAUGAAAGAAAUAUCACUAGAUCAUACUGACAUUAAAAGAAUAAUAAAAAAAUAAUAUGGAAAACAACAAUGUGGAAAUCUUAUACCAUUAAAUUCAACAAAUUAGAUGUUUUCAAAUUACUUUAAAUCAUAACUUACUAAAGCUAAUACAAGAUGGAAUAGAAAAUCUGAGUAACCCUUUAUCUACUUAAAAUUUUGAAUUUUUGAUUUAAAAAACCUUCCCGUGAAGAAAACUAUAGGUUCAGAUGAUCUCUCUGAGGAGUACUAUAAAACAUUUAAAGAAAAAACAAUAUGAAUGCUAAGCAAAUUUAGAAAAUAAAGGAGGAAGGAAUAUUUCUUAACUCAUUUUAUGAAGCAAGUAUUACCCGGAUACCAAACCUGAGAAAACUAUUUCAAAAAAAUGUUGCUGAUCAGUAUUUCUGUGAUUAUAGCCACUGCAAUAUAGUGAAUGUUUGUGUCCCUCCAAGAUUCAUGUGUUCAAAUCCUAACCUCCAGUGUGAUGGAGAAGUCAACAGUCUGCAGCCUGGAAGAGGACCCUUACCAUACACUGAAUCUGCUGGUGCCUUGAUCUUGGACUUCAUACCCUCCAGAAUUGUGAGAAAUAAAUGUUUGUUGUUUAAAGUCA